GGAUUAGAUACCCUGGUAGUCCACGCCGUAAACGAUGAUUACUAAGUGUUCGGUCUUCGGACUGAGUGCUCAAGCGAAAGCGAUAAGUAAUCCACCUGGGGAGUACGUCGGCAACGAUGAAACUCAAAGGAAUUGACGGGGGCCCGCACAAGCGGUGGAGCAUGUGGUUUAAUUCGAUGAUACGCGAGGAACCUUACCUGGGCUACAAUGCCUCUGCCAACUGCCGAAAGGUGGCUUUCCUACGGGACAGAGUGCAAGGUGCUGCAUGGUUGUCGUCAGCUCGUGCUG
Molecule: ribosomal RNA, 288 nt
Filed under: uncultured bacterium
Lineage: Bacteria
Description: partial 16S ribosomal RNA
Rfam family: Bacterial small subunit ribosomal RNA
Source: RNAcentral